GCCUUUGUGGCGCAGUGGUAGCGCGUUCCGCUCGUAUUGACGAAACGGAUAGGUCCUGUGUUCAAAUCACAGCUGAGGCA
Dioszegia hungarica is the source of this 80-nucleotide non-coding RNA. Lineage: Eukaryota; Fungi; Basidiomycota; Tremellomycetes; Tremellales; Bulleribasidiaceae. The record is from the annotation of a RefSeq genome assembly.